Molecule: non-coding RNA, 30 nt
Filed under: Rattus norvegicus (Norway rat)
Lineage: Eukaryota; Metazoa; Chordata; Mammalia; Rodentia; Muridae
Source: RNAcentral
UNGAUGUACCAGAACUUAAAUAGCAGUUUC